GAUGAACGCUGGCGGCGUGCCUAAUACAUGCAAGUCGAGCGAACAGAUGAGAAGCUUGCUUCUCUGAUGUUAGCGGCGGACGGGUGAGUAACACGUGGGUAACCUACCUAUAAGACUGGGAUAACUCCGGGAAACCGGGGCUAGUACCGGAUAAUAUUUUGAACCGCAUGGUUCAAUAGUGAAAGACGGUUUCGGCUGUCACUUAUAGAUGGACCCGCGCCGUAUUAGCUAGUUGGUAAGGUAACGGCUUACCAAGGCGACGAUACGUAGCCGACCUGAGAGGGUGAUCGGCCACACUGGAACUGAGACACGGUCCAGACUCCUACGGGAGGCAGCAGUAGGGAAUCUUCCGCAAUGGGCGAAAGCCUGACGGAGCAACGCCGCGUGAGUGAUGAAGGUCUUCGGAUCGUAAAACUCUGUUGUUAGGGAAGAACAAAUUUGUUAGUAACUGAACAAGUCUUGACGGUACCUAACCAGAAAGCCACGGCUAACUACGUGCCAGCAGCCGCGGUAAUACGUAGGUGGCAAGCGUUAUCCGGAAUUAUUGGGCGUAAAGCGCGCGUAGGCGGUUUCUUAAGUCUGAUGUGAAAGCCCACGGCUCAACCGUGGAGGGUCAUUGGAAACUGGGAAACUUGAGUGCAGAAGAGGAGAGUGGAAUUCCAUGUGUAGCGGUGAAAUGCGCAGAGAUAUGGAGGAACACCAGUGGCGAAGGCGGCUCUCUGGUCUGUAACUGACGCUGAUGUGCGAAAGCGUGGGGAUCAAACAGGAUUAGAUACCCUGGUAGUCCACGCCGUAAACGAUGAGUGCUAAGUGUUAGGGGGUUUCCGCCCCUUAGUGCUGCAGCUAACGCAUUAAGCACUCCGCCUGGGGAGUACGACCGCAAGGUUGAAACUCAAAGGAACUGACGGGGACCCGCACAAGCGGUGGAGCAUGUGGUUUAAUUCGAAGCAACGCGAAGAACCUUACCAAAUCUUGACAUCCUUUGACCGCUCUAGAGAUAGAGUCUUCCCCUUCGGGGGACAAAGUGACAGGUGGUGCAUGGUUGUCGUCAGCUCGUGUCGUGAGAUGUUGGGUUAAGUCCCGCAACGAGCGCAACCCUUAAGCUUAGUUGCCAUCAUUAAGUUGGGCACUCUAGGUUGACUGCCGGUGACAAACCGGAGGAAGGUGGGGAUGACGUCAAAUCAUCAUGCCCCUUAUGAUUUGGGCUACACACGUGCUACAAUGGAUAAUACAAAGGGCAGCGCAUCCGCGAGGCCAAGCAAAUCCCAUAAAAUUAUUCUCAGUUCGGAUUGUAGUCUGCAACUCGACUACAUGAAGCUGGAAUCGCUAGUAAUCGUAGAUCAGCAUGCUACGGUGAAUACGUUCCCGGGUCU
RNAcentral lists this ribosomal RNA (1373 nucleotides) under uncultured bacterium. RNAcentral's name for it is "bacterial SSU rRNA". It matches the Rfam family "Bacterial small subunit ribosomal RNA", at positions 28 to 1381 of the family's 1533-position model. The record is from RNAcentral.